This 423-nucleotide ribosomal RNA is filed under the name uncultured bacterium. RNAcentral's name for it is "bacterial SSU rRNA". It matches the Rfam family "Bacterial small subunit ribosomal RNA", at positions 207 to 622 of the family's 1533-position model. The record is from RNAcentral.
AAGACCUUGCGCUUUUGGAGCGGCCGAUGCCUGAUUAGCUUGUUGGUAAGGUAAAAGCUUACCAAGGCUUCGAUCAGUAGCUGGUCUGAGAGGACGACCAGCCACACUGGGACUGAGACACGGCCCAGACUCCUACGGGAGGCAGCAGUGGGGAAUUUUGGACAAUGGGGGCAACCCUGAUCCAGCCAUGCCGCGUGAGUGAAGAAGGCCUUCGGGUUGUAAAGCUCUUUCAGCCGGAACGAAACGGUUACGGAUAACACCCGUGACUACUGACGGUACCGGAAGAAGAAGCGCCGGCUAACUACGUGCCAGCAGCCGCGGUAAUACGUAGGGUGCGAGCGUUAAUCGGAAUUACUGGGCGUAAAGCGUGCGCAGGUGGUUUUGUAAGUCAGAUGUGAAAGCCCCGGGCUCAACCUGGGAACU